Molecule: long non-coding RNA, 567 nt
Organism: Oncorhynchus tshawytscha (Chinook salmon)
Lineage: Eukaryota; Metazoa; Chordata; Actinopteri; Salmoniformes; Salmonidae
Source: Ensembl
AGAGACAUCAUGCCAAUAGGUACCAGUCAUGGUGAGUAGAGACAUGUCAAUAGGUACCAGUCAUGGUGAGUAGAGACAUCAUGCCAAUAGGUACCAGUCAGGGUGAGUAGAGACAUGUCAAUAGGUACCAGUCAUGGUGAAUAGAGACAUGUCAAUAGGUACCAGUCAUGGUGAGUAGAGACCUCAUGCCAAUAGGUACCAGUCAUGGUGAGUAGAGACCUCAUGUCAAUAGGUACCAGUCAUGGUGAGUAGAGACCUCAUGUCAAUAGGUACCAGUCAUGGUGAGUAGAGACCUCAUGUCAAUAGGUACCAGUCAGGGUGAGUAGAGACCUCAUGUCAAUAGGUAGCAGUCAUGGUGAGUAGAGACCUCAUGUCAAUAGGUACCAGUCAUGGUGAGUAGAGACAUGUCAAUAGGUACCAGUCAUGGUGAGUAGAGAGAGACAUCAUGUCAAUAGGUACCAGUCAUGGUGAGUAGAGACAUCAUGCCAAUAGGUACCAGUCAGGGUGAGUAGAGACAUGUCAAUAGGUACCAGUCAUGGUGAAUAGAGACAUGUCAAUAGGUACCAG